CGCUAGCUACAGGCUUAACACAUGCAAGUCGAGGGGCAGCAUGGUCUUAGCUUGCUAAGGCCGAUGGCGACCGGCGCACGGGUGAGUAACACGUAUCCAACCUGCCGUCUACUCUUGGACAGCCUUCUGAAAGGAAGAUUAAUACAAGAUGGCAUCAUGAGUCCGCAUGUUCACAUGAUUAAAGGUAUUCCGGUAGACGAUGGGGAUGCGUUCCAUUAGAUAGUAGGCGGGGUAACGGCCCACCUAGUCUUCGAUGGAUAGGGGUUCUGAGAGGAAGGUCCCCCACAUUGGAACUGAGACACGGUCCAAACUCCUACGGGAGGCAGCAGUGAGGAAUAUUGGUCAAUGGGCGAGAGCCUGAACCAGCCAAGUAGCGUGAAGGAUGACUGCCCUAUGGGUUGUAAACUUCUUUUAUAAAGGAAUAAAGUCGGGUAUGCAUACCCGUUUGCAUGUACUUUAUGAAUAAGGAUCGGCUAACUCCGUGCCAGCAGCCGCGGUAAUACGGAGGAUCCGAGCGUUAUCCGGAUUUAUUGGGUUUAAAGGGAGCGUAGAUGGAUGUUUAAGUCAGUUGUGAAAGUUUGCGGCUCAACCGUAAAAUUGCAGUUGAUACUGGAUAUCUUGAGUGCAGUUGAGGCAGGCGGAAUUCGUGGUGUAGCGGUGAAAUGCUUAGAUAUCACGAAGAACUCCGAUUGCGAAGGCAGCCUGCUAAGCUGCAACUGACAUUGAGGCUCGAAAGUGUGGGUAUCAAACAGGAUUAGAUACCCUGGUAGUCCACACGGUAAACGAUGAAUACUCGCUGUUUGCGAUAUACAGCAAGCGGCCGAGCGAAAGCGUUAAGUAUUCCACCUGGGGAGUACGCCGGCAACGGUGAAACUCAAAGGAAUUGACGGGGGCCCCGCACAAGCGGAGGAACAUGUGGUUUAAUUCGAUGAUACGCGAGGAACCUUACCCGGGCUUAAAUUGCAGAUGAAUUACGGUGAAAGCCGUAAGCCGCAAGGCAUCUGUGAAGGUGCUGCAUGGUUGUCGUCAGCUCGUGCCGUGAGGUGUCGGCUUAAGUGCCAUAACGAGCGCAACCCUUGUUGUCAGUUACUAACAGGUUCCGCUGAGGACUCUGACAAGACUGCCAUCGUAAGAUGUGAGGAAGGUGGGGAUGACGUCAAAUCAGCACGGCCCUUACGUCCGGGGCUACACACGUGUUACAAUGGGGGGUACAGAGGGCCGCUACCACGCGAGUGGAUGCCAAUCCCCAAAACCUCUCUCAGUUCGGACUGGAGUCUGCAACCCGACUCCACGAAGCUGGAUUCGCUAGUAAUCGCGCAUCAGCCACGGCGCGGUGAAUACGUUCCCGGGCCUUGUACACACCGCCCGUCAAGCCAUGGGAGCCGGGGGUACCUGAAGUGCGUAACCGCGAGGAGCGCCCUAGGGUAAAACUGG
RNAcentral lists this ribosomal RNA (1434 nucleotides) under uncultured organism. Its description in RNAcentral is "SSU rRNA". It matches the Rfam family "Bacterial small subunit ribosomal RNA". The record is from RNAcentral.